GGCUUCGUAGCUCGGCUGGUAGAGCGCUUGCUGCGUUAAGGCAUGGUGUUUCUGUCGCCGGUGUGAAUCCAGCCGAAGCCC
Molecule: non-coding RNA, 81 nt
Organism: Paragonimus heterotremus
Lineage: Eukaryota; Metazoa; Platyhelminthes; Trematoda; Plagiorchiida; Troglotrematidae
Source: the annotation of a GenBank genome assembly